GUGAAGGGGGGAGAAGUGUCCGCGCCAUUGGUGCGAGCGCGAGCGAAACGGAGCGAGGGUCGGAGCUCCCCACUCCCGCGACGGCGCGGCGCUUCGUGUGUAGUCGCAGUCGCCUUUCACGGGUACGGUCGGGUUGGUCGGUCGGUCGGUCGGUCGGUCGGUCGUUCGGUCGGUCGGUCGCCCGAGCGGGGCUUGGAACAACAUACACGUUCGCGAACGCGUUUUUCGUCCGAGUCGCUCCGGGAAUUACGUCGUCGUCGCAUCGGUGGAGUCCCUCUCGAAGCCCGCACGAGAGAGAAACGUCCUCUGCUUCGAAGGCUGGUGCGCGCGCGUAGCCGCCGCGCGAGUCCCUGGCAUGGAGUGAUCUGCUUGCCGCCGUGACUCAUCCCACGCAGCACAAUCGGCCCAGGAUUCUUCGAGGAUGACGGGCAGACACGCGGAACGAAUUGUCGCCGCUCGCGAGGAAUGCGGAAGUCGAGGAUGCCUGAGACGACCGAUGGGGUAAGUACAACGAACUGUUCGAAGAAUUCUUACACUAAAUGUAAUCUCGGUUUAAGCCGCUGCGAGAGAAUCCCAAGCCUUCAAGGGCCGAGCGAUAAUGCCUAAAACCAAAGAAUUAAGCUGGCAUGUCUGUCCUGACACAUCUCACGUCCUCUUAAAAGCAGAACAAGAAUAUAAGGUUGAUCUAAAGCUAUUUAUAAUUAUAACUUCGGCUCGAUUUUUGCUUCUUUUUUUGUAUAAUUCUAAAAU
This 750-nucleotide long non-coding RNA is filed under the name Pogonomyrmex barbatus (red harvester ant). RNAcentral describes it as "uncharacterized LOC105424759, transcript variant X2". The record is from RNAcentral. Lineage: Eukaryota; Metazoa; Arthropoda; Insecta; Hymenoptera; Formicidae.